UGUUACACCAAUGAAAAAUACUAAUCCACUACCAGGGGCCGUCUAGAAUGUGGAGGCCUCCUAAUUGACAUCCAUGUUCAGGGAUCUGGAUAGGUCCUGUACUGGCCUCCCAGACAGCAUUCUUGGGUCCAUGUGCUCCCCCUUGUACAGGCCAGCUGUUUUUGUGGGUUUCACUAGCCUGGUACUGACCCAUUUGAUCUUCAUUCCUCCCUCUCUGUAACUAAGUUCCAGAGUUCAGUUUAGUGGAUAUCUGUGGGUUUCUGCAUGAGUUUCCAUCAGCCACUGAAUGAAGGCUCUAGGUGGCAUAAAAACUAGUCAUCAGUCUCAUUAUAGGUGAAGGACAUAUAGGUUCUCCUCUCCACCAUUGCCUAGAUUGUCAGUUCAUGUCAUUCUUGUAGGUCUCUGGAAAUCUCCAUAGUGCCAGAUCUCUCCUUGGACCUAUAAUGGCUCCCUCUAAUAUGGUAUCUCUAACCCUGCUAUCCUCUAUUCUUUCCCCAACUGAAUAUUUCUUUUUUUCUAUCUUUUUUAUUUGAGUUAGAAACAGGAUUGUCUUACAUGACAAUCCCAGUUCCCUUCUCCCACCCGUCCUUCCAUACCCCUGCCAACUAAAACCUUAUCUGUCACAUAUAUUUUCUACUCCCCUUGGAUGGUGAGGCCUUCCAUAGGGUGUCAUCAGAGUCUUUCAUAUCCUUUGCGAUAGGGCCCAGGCUCACCCCAUGUUUCUUGGCUCAGGGAGUAUUCCUUUAUAUGGAAUGGGCUCCCAAAGUCCACACCUAUGCAUGGGAUAAAUACUGGGCUUCUACAGGAGGUCCCAUAGAUUUCUGAGGUUUCCUCACAGAAACCCAUGUUCCUGGGGUCUGGAUUAGUCCCAUGCUGGUAUUCUAGCUAUCAGUCUGGGGACCAAGAGCUCCCUGUUGUUCAUGUCAGCUGUUUCUGUGGCUUUCACCAGCCUGGUCUGAACCCCUUUGCUCAUCACUCAUCCUUCACUGCAACUGGAUUCCAGUUCAGCUCAGUGAUUAGUUAUGGGUGUCUGCUUCUACUUCUACAAGCUGCUAGAUGAAGGCAUAUAAGUCAGUCAUCAAUUUCAUAAUCAGGGGAGGGUGGUACCUUUGCACAAUGGAGUACUACUCAGCAGAAAAAAACAAUGGAAUCUUGAAAUUUGCAGGAAAAUGCAUGGACCUAGAAGAAACCAUUCUGAGCGUGGUAACCCAAUUGCAAAAAGACAAACAUGCAAGAACUGGGAUACUUGUUAGACAGCAGGUUCCAAACUCCGAACACUCAGAGGCAUCUCAUCCUCUAUCCUCCGGUCCUGGAAGGCAGGGACUGUUUCCAGUUCCAGUUUGUUGUCGCUGCUCAGAGUCAACUGAUUCAAGCGACCUGCAUGCCAGACCAGUUUGGUGGUGCGUUCCAAACUCCGA
This 1418-nucleotide long non-coding RNA is filed under the name Cricetulus griseus (Chinese hamster). RNAcentral describes it as "lncRNA (ENSCGRG00015039871.1)". Lineage: Eukaryota; Metazoa; Chordata; Mammalia; Rodentia; Cricetidae. The record is from RNAcentral.